Long non-coding RNA from Syzygium oleosum, 449 nucleotides. RefSeq lists it as uncharacterized. NCBI's taxonomy places the organism in Eukaryota, Viridiplantae, Streptophyta, Magnoliopsida, Myrtales, Myrtaceae. The transcript has 3 exons. The record is from RefSeq and is a predicted model, not a curated record.
CACAUCGCAGAAGAACGAGAGGGUACGUAGAAAAGGGGAAAAAAGAAAGGAGAGGGAAAAGAAAUGGCACUCAAGACUAUUGCUUCUUCUCCUUCGAUGGCGAUAUUCUUGCGCAAUCUCGUGGUUCUGGUCCUUCAUUUCAUAAUCCUCGCUUCAGGCCCAGCACCCAACUGCGGGCGUGGUUUAGCGGAACCAGGCAUACCGAAGCCUUCCCCUGGAUGCAAAUGAGGUACGUACUCGCAUAAUAAAGCGCUCGAUUUCUUGUAUCUUGCUACAGUAGAAAUGUGAAGUCCCUAUGUUUUGUGUAGUGGUCUACUUCUUGUAUCUUGCUCCACAGGCAAGCGCUGCUGUGUCACAUAUGAAUAUCGUUCGCCUAAAAAUGCGAGUGGGCAAGCAUUGAUGUAAGCUUUCAAAAUUUUCUCCAUAUCAACAGUUUUGAUUUUCAAAAA